This 253-nucleotide ribosomal RNA is filed under the name uncultured bacterium. RNAcentral's name for it is "partial 16S ribosomal RNA". It matches the Rfam family "Bacterial small subunit ribosomal RNA", at positions 524 to 776 of the family's 1533-position model. The record is from RNAcentral.
UACGUAGGGGGCAAGCGUUGUCCGGAAUCAUUGGGCGUAAAGAGCGUGUAGGCGGCCCGGUAAGUCCGCCGUGAAAGCCCAGGGCUCAACCCUGGGAUGCCGGUGGAAACUACCGGGCUAGAGUCCGGAAGAGGCGAGUGGAAUUCCUGGUGUAGCGGUGAAAUGCGUAGAUAUCGAGAGGAACACCAGCGGCGAAGGCGGCGAUCUGGGUUGAUACUGACGCUGAGGUGCGAAAGCGUGGGGAGCAAACAGG